Molecule: small RNA, 106 nt
Filed under: Marmota monax (woodchuck)
Lineage: Eukaryota; Metazoa; Chordata; Mammalia; Rodentia; Sciuridae
Source: RNAcentral
GCCAGGCAUGGUGUUGCAUGCCUGUAAUCCUAGCGGCUCUGGAGGCUGAGACAGGACAAUCAUGAGUUCAAAGUCAGCUCAGCAACUCAGUGAGACCCUGCCUCUA